GGGGGAUAUUGCGCAAUGGGGGCAACCCUGACGCAGCAACGCCGCGUGAAGGAUGAAGGUUUUCGGAUUGUAAACUUCUUUUAUUAAGGACGAAAAAUGACGGUACUUAAUGAAUAAGCUCCGGCUAACUACGUGCCAGCAGCCGCGGUAAUACGUAGGGAGCAAGCGUUGUCCGGAUUUACUGGGUGUAAAGGGUGCGUAGGCGGCUUUGCAAGUCAGAUGUGAAAUCUAUGGGCUCAACCCAUAAACUGCAUUUGAAACUGUAGAGCUUGAGUGAAGUAGAGGCAGGCGGAAUUCCCCGUGUAGCGGUGAAAUGCGUAGAGAUGGGGAGGAACACCAGUGGCGAAGGCGGCCUGCUGGGCUUUAACUGACGCUGAGGCACGAAAGCGUGGGUAGCAAACAGGAUUAGAUACCCUGGUAGUCCACGCUGUAAACGAUGAUUACUAGGUGUGGGGGGUCUGACCCCUUCCGUGUCGGAGUUAACACAAUAAGUAAUCCACCUGGGGAGUACGGCCGCAAGGUUGAAACUCAAAGGAAUUGACGGGGGCCCGCACAAGCAGUGGAGUAUGUGGUUUAAUUCGAAGCAACGCGAAGAACCUUACCAGGUCUUGACAUCCAACUAACGAAGUAGAGAUACAUUAGGUGCCCUUCGGGGAAAGUUGAGACAGGUGGUGCAUGGUUGUCGUCAGCUCGUGUCGUGAGAUGUUGGGUUAAGUCCCGCAACGAGCGCAACCCUUGCUAUUAGUUGCUACGCAAGAGCACUCUAAUAGGACUGCCGUUGACAAAACGGAGGAAGGUGGGGACGACGUCAAAUCAUCAUGCCCCUUAUGACCUGGGCUACACACGUACUACAAUGGAUGUUAACAGAGGGAAGCAAGACAGCGAUGUGGAGCAAACCCCUAAAAACAUUCUCAGUUCAGAUUGCAGGCUGCAACCCGCCUGCAUGAAGAUGGAAUUGCUAGUAAUCGCGGAUCAGCAUGCCGCGGUGAAUACGUUCCCG
RNAcentral lists this ribosomal RNA (1000 nucleotides) under uncultured bacterium. RNAcentral describes it as "bacterial SSU rRNA". It matches the Rfam family "Bacterial small subunit ribosomal RNA", at positions 356 to 1376 of the family's 1533-position model. The record is from RNAcentral. RNAcentral also lists the same sequence under 1 other name.